AGGGAUUGUACAUAUCCUGUGAGAUACGGUACUCAGCCUGCUGACAGCUGGGUGUAGGAAGGGUCAGCUCAACCUGCCAAACACGACGGAGAUUGUCGGGACGGAGAUAUUUAUAUUCUCACAAACCAUCUCAAGGUUGAAGCACCGGUGAGUUAAAGCAAACUUCGUUGUUUUUUAUCUAAAAUUAUUCAUGUAUAAAUUACUAUAUAAACCUAGACGAAAGCGAUAAUAAUAAACUAAUUAAUCUCAUCACAACCCAAUCCUUCUAUUUUUGCAUCCUGCAAAGAUAUAGGGAUUUUAAAAUUAAAACUUU
Eurytemora carolleeae is the source of this 313-nucleotide long non-coding RNA. RefSeq lists it as uncharacterized. Lineage: Eukaryota; Metazoa; Arthropoda; Copepoda; Calanoida; Temoridae. The record is from RefSeq and is a predicted model, not a curated record. The transcript is spliced from 3 exons.